RNAcentral lists this ribosomal RNA (684 nucleotides) under uncultured bacterium. RNAcentral describes it as "bacterial SSU rRNA". It matches the Rfam family "Bacterial small subunit ribosomal RNA", at positions 59 to 717 of the family's 1533-position model. The record is from RNAcentral.
CAGUCGACGCUUCUUUUCCACCGGAGCUUGCUCCACCGGGAAAAGAGGAGUGGCGAACGGGUGAGUAACACGUGGGUAACCUGCCCAUCAGAAGGGGAUAACACUUGGAAACAGGUGCUAAUACCGUAUAACAAUCGAAACCGCAUGGUUUCGUUUUGAAAGGCGCUUUACGGUGCCGCUGAUGGAUGGACCCGCGGUGCAUUAGCUAGUUGGUGAGGUAACGGCUCACCAAGGCCACGAUGCAUAGCCGACCUGAGAGGGUGAUCGGCCACAUUGGGACUGAGACACGGCCCAAACUCCUACGGGAGGCAGCAGUAGGGAAUCUUCGGCAAUGGACGAAAGUCUGACCGAGCAACGCCGCGUGAGUGAAGAAGGUUUUCGGAUCGUAAAACUCUGUUGUUAGAGAAGAACAAGGGUGAGAGUAACUGUUCACCCCUUGACGGUAUCUAACCAGAAAGCCACGGCUAACUACGUGCCAGCAGCCGCGGUAAUACGUAGGUGGCAAGCGUUGUCCGGAUUUAUUGNGCGUAAAGCGAGCGCAGGCGGUUUCUUAAGUCUGAUGUGAAAGCCCCCGGCUCAACCGGGGAGGGUCAUUGGAAACUGGGAGACUUGAGUGCAGAAGAGGAGAGUGGAAUUCAUGUGUAGCGGUGAAAUGCGUAGAUAUAUGGAGGAACACCAGUGGCG